RNAcentral lists this ribosomal RNA (775 nucleotides) under uncultured Neocallimastigales. Its description in RNAcentral is "partial large subunit ribosomal RNA". It matches the Rfam family "Eukaryotic large subunit ribosomal RNA", at positions 24 to 644 of the family's 3401-position model. Lineage: Eukaryota; Fungi; Neocallimastigomycota; Neocallimastigomycetes; Neocallimastigales. The record is from RNAcentral.
UAUCUCUGUAGAGUCUGCAUAUCAAUAAGCGGAGGAAAAGAAACUAACAAGGAUUCCCUUAGUAACGGCGAGUGAAGCGGGAAGAGCUCAAAUUUGAAAUCUUCAAGGUUUUACCUUGACGAAUUGUAGUUUAAAGAAGUGUUUUCUGUUGAAGUUUCGGUAAAAGUUCUUUGGAAUAGGACAUCAUAGAGGGUGAGAAUCCCGUAUUUGACCGUUAUUUUCAGCUGUGUGAUACACUUUCAAAGAGUCGGAUUGUUUGGGAAUGCAGUCCAAAAUGGGUGGUAAAUUUCAUCUAAAGCUAAAUAUUGGCGAGAGACCGAUAGCGAACAAGUACCGUGAGGGAAAGAUGAAAAGAACUUUGAAAAGAGAGUUAAACAGUACGUGAAAUUGUCAAAAGGGAAGCGUUUGACACCAGUGUUGUUUUUCCGAAAAUCAAUUACGAAUGGCUUGAUUUUGUGUUGUAUUGACCUUAUCAGCUUUCUUCACUUUUUCUCGAGUCUUUCUUAAUGCACUUUUCGGUUAACAAGUCAACAUCAAUUUCUUUUGUUGUAAAAAGGUCAUUGGAAGGUGGCUUUCUUUUCGGAGAAAGUGUUUAUAGCCUUUGACUCCUGCAAUCGGAGAGACUGAGGUCUGCAGCGUAGAUCCUUCUGGAUUAGAUUCAUUUGUGCUAAGUUACAACCGUUUAUAGACAACUUGUUGACUAUAUUCGAUCCUGUAGCUUACUCGCUUAUGUAAUUUUACCUACGCUUAGGAUGUUGACUGAUAUGUAGUCGUA